CAGCAGCCACGGUAAUACGAAGGGGGCUAGCGUUGCUCGGAAUGACUGGGCGUAAAGGGCGCGUAGGCGGCGGCCAAAGUCAGGCGUGAAAUUCCCGGGCUCAACCUGGGGGCUGCGUUUGAUACUUGGUUGCUCGAGUGGGGAAGAGGGUCGUGGAAUUCCCAGUGUAGAGGUGAAAUUCGUAGAUAUUGGGAAGAACACCGGUGGCGAAGGCGGCGACCUGUCCUUUACUGACGCUGAGGCGCGAAAGCGUGGGGAGCAAACAGGAUUAGAUACCCCCGUAGUCCCUGUCUCUUAUACA
Molecule: ribosomal RNA, 301 nt
Filed under: uncultured bacterium
Lineage: Bacteria
Description: partial 16S ribosomal RNA
Rfam family: Bacterial small subunit ribosomal RNA
Source: RNAcentral